Molecule: microRNA precursor, 116 nt
Filed under: Macleaya cordata
Lineage: Eukaryota; Viridiplantae; Streptophyta; Magnoliopsida; Ranunculales; Papaveraceae
Description: mir-399 microRNA precursor family
Rfam family: mir-399 microRNA precursor family
About the family: mir-399 was identified in both Arabidopsis thaliana and Oryza sativa computationally and was later experimentally verified. mir-399 is thought to target mRNAs coding for a phosphatase transporter. The mature sequence is excised from the 3' arm of the hairpin.
Source: Rfam by way of RNAcentral
AGAUGAAUAACAGUGUGAUUCUCCAUUGGCAGGAUGAAUAACAGUAUAGUAGUGUCCAUGCCUGAUGCUAUAUAUGUGAUAUGUCUGCCAAGGGAGAAUUGCCCUGCUAUUCACCC